CUCCCUGUACCAUCGCGCUUGACCAUCGGCAGUCGGGUUCGUCGAAAACCCAUAAAAAUGGAUGCUCAAUUUUUCUCUGUUUGGUCGGGCCCUAUUUCUUUCUUUUUCGACCAUUGGUGCUAUCGUUUGCAAUGCCUCAGCCAUGGGUCAUGACCCCCACCUCCCUAGCUUCCUUCUUCGGAGGUUUGGCCGUCGAUGAUCGGUUGGUGAUCGAAAAAAUCAAAGAAAAGGGGGUAGUUCUCUAUUUUUUUGAGUUUUUUAUUUUUAUUUGUUGGCCGGUUACUUGCCACCGGCCAUCCCUUGCUCCACCACCACCGGUUGCCUAUGUCACCGUCAGACUCCCAGCCACAAGUCAUCAGCCUUUGUUCCCUUGAUCAGCCAAGAAGAGAAGAAAAGGAAAGA
Molecule: long non-coding RNA, 402 nt
Filed under: Elaeis guineensis (African oil palm)
Lineage: Eukaryota; Viridiplantae; Streptophyta; Magnoliopsida; Arecales; Arecaceae
Description: long non-coding RNA (EGUI_LNC010598)
Source: RNAcentral